This 354-nucleotide ribosomal RNA is filed under the name uncultured Desulfocapsa sp. RNAcentral's name for it is "bacterial SSU rRNA". It matches the Rfam family "Bacterial small subunit ribosomal RNA", at positions 1031 to 1382 of the family's 1533-position model. Lineage: Bacteria; Pseudomonadati; Thermodesulfobacteriota; Desulfobulbia; Desulfobulbales; Desulfocapsaceae. The record is from RNAcentral.
AGACGAGGUGCUGCAGUGCUGUCGUCAGCUCGUGUCGUGAGUAUUGGUUGGGUUAAGUCCCGUAACGAGCGCCAACCUUGUCCUUAGUUACCAGCACGUUAUGGUGGGCACUCUAAGGAGACUGCCGGUGACAAACCGGAGGAAGGUGGGAUGACGUCAAGUCAUCAUGGCCCUUACGGCCUGGGCUACACACGUGCUACAAUGGCAGGUACAAAGGGCAGCCACUUAGCGAUAAGGCGCGAAUCCCAUAAAACCUGUCUCAGUCCGGAUUGGAGUCUGCAACUCGACUCCAUGAAGUUGGAAUCGCUAGUAAUCGCAGAUCAGCACGCUGCGGUGAAUACGUUCCCGGGCCUU